This is a long non-coding RNA of Homo sapiens (human), 2485 nucleotides long. Ensembl annotates it as long intergenic non-protein coding RNA 343. NCBI's taxonomy places the organism in Eukaryota, Metazoa, Chordata, Mammalia, Primates, Hominidae. The record is from Ensembl.
AGAUCAAGAGGAGAGGCUCUCCAGAUUUGCUGACCUAGAAGGAUAAGUCUGAAAGUAGGAGGGUGGGGAGAGCCAGAUGAACAAGGGAGGUGAAAACGUGAUCUAGGGAGGCAUCCGAGUGAGCAAAGGCACGAGUGAGCCUGGUACACUUCUGGGCAGGCAGAAGGAAGGCAGUUAGGCUGUUAGGAAGGCAGUUAGGCUGCAGUGAAUUCUACAAAGAGGCUAUGGGAAAGAAACCUGGAAAGUACCCUUGGCUGUGUACAUUUGAGUAAAGAGAGCACUAUAAAAUCAAAAACCAAUGAAAUGGUUUCCAGAACACAGAACUAUUAAGCUUAAGAAAAGGACAGAAGGAACUGAAGAGAGAGGAACUGUUUUGGAGCAUCACACUUCCACCUCAGAAGAAAUAAGGAAGGAAGGAGGAGGGUGUUCCCACGGCUCUUCAACCAGGCCGGCUCUUCAGCCUACAUCCCCAUCUCAUCAAGUAAAAGGGAUUUUUCAACUGGACCAACCAGAUGGUUUAACAGUGCACUCCCACACCAUUCAACUACGCAAGGGAGAUACACUUAACAUAUGCAGUCGUAUAACACCUACUAACAUUUUCAAACAUUAAACCUUUAAAAAAGAGUUCUAAAGAAAUAGAAGCUUGAAGUAUCAUCUCUCAAGUAUAUAGACACUACUUCAUGGUGUGGUAAUAUAUGCAUAUAGAAGCUAGUAAACACCUCCAGGAGAUGCAAAAGGAAUUAGAACUGCCACAAGGUGCAAGCAAAACCUUGAGCUUCUUUAAAAUAUGAAGACUUCGAAGUUAUUUAUCCAAACCAACCUGAUCAUUUCUUAAGAGUGAAUAUACCUUGGAAGACGUGUCCUGCCUUUAGUAGCGUCACAAUGGAUUACAUCCUCUAUAAAGCAGUCUGGGGUGAGAAAAUCGAAUUUGGACACCGUUGAGGAGACUAUUGCAGUCAUCCAAGCUCAAGAUGGUGGAGCUUCAUCCUUGAGAAUAACCAAUGGGGAUAGAUUUAAGAGACACUUAGAGUCUGCAGCCAACAGGGCUGAAUGAGCAUUCUGUUUUUCCUCUUCUAAUCCUUCACCCAUCUGAGCUAAAGUCUAGACCUAAGGAGGCUACUAAUUCAGGGAUCGAGUAAUCUGCCAAGCAAGAGUUUAUUCAAGCACAGUUUGAAAUAAAGGUUUCAAAUGCAUAGCCUGUCGAUACUUUGGAAGGAUUCUCAUCAUAACGAGUAUGCAAUUUGCUAUAAAGAAGAAUGCCCAUUACGGACUAAAUGUUUAUGUCCUCCUAAAAUUCAUAUGUUGAAGGCCUAACUCUCAAUGUGAUGAUUAUGUGGAGAUGGUGCCUUUGGGAGGAUAUGGGAGGACACCUGAGACGGCAGGCCAGAAGUCACUCAGUAGGAGAAACAUCCGUUAGAAGUAAUAAUGUGGGAUUGCUGAAGUAAAGACUAUAGGAAGAAAAAAGUGUCUGUGUGUAGGAAACGGAAAGGGAGAGAAAAAUACACUGAGAUGGUAAAGUAAGGAAGUGGAAGAUCAGCAGAAUGUGCAGAUGCCAAGCCAUCCAAGAAAAUCAUCUCUUGUGAUUGUUGCGAAGUCAACUAGCUAAUGUGACUCACUGCUAGGCUGUUGGAUCUGAGACUUAUGUGGGAUAAUUUAGAAACUUGCUAGUGUCUUAAGAUCAAUUACUCACCAAUGAGAGUGGCAUUGAACUGUGAAUGUUCCUCCUAGAUUUUCCAUGAAGACUAAUGGUUUUGUCUUGUCUUGAAUUUGUUUUAAUUACAAUUUGUAUACAUCCUGUUCCACCCUGAAAUUUUUAUUUUCCAAAUGGUUUUUCAUUUAAAGAGACUAAAUAAAGGUUCUGACUGAGUUGUACUUGUGGGAACUCCAAAAUCUUUUUAUAGGAAGCUAUUUUCAUCAAAUAGUGUUGAGAAUCAAGUUUCCAGUUGGAGAAAAUAACAGAGACAUGCAAAUUCAGGAUGUAGCUGUACAGCAAUGUUAGUGAAGAGAGAAAAUUUUGAGUCAUUUAGACAUUAACCAUUAAGCAUCUGGAUUUUUUUAAAUGUUAAGACAGAAAAAAAUACCUGUAUGUCAACCAAAAUUUUAUUUAAUUUAGUGAACUGUGAUAGGGACUCCUCUCUGCUCAUCCAAAUCCAGGUUUUCUUCUGCUCCUGGACACAUAAGCAGGGUAUGUGUUGCAGUUAGCUGUGGCCAGGACAUUGGACUUGUGGUCAAUGGAAUAUGCACAAGAAGAGAUGUGCGAUAUUUCCAAGCCUGACUCCCUAAACAGUAAAUACUUUCGAGUCAUAAUUUUCCACAUUCUGUCCUAUUAGCUGUGUCAAUGGAAUGACUAUUGGCAUCUUAGAAGUUAGAGAUGAAAGAUCUCCUAUCAGCCUGAUUCUUCAGAGACUUACUUGGAACAGAACCUCUGCUGUGGAUCUUAAACCACUCACUCUGGGGAAUGGUGAGGAUUAAAUUCCUAUUUUGU